UGGUGGGAUGAAAUCCAUCCUUGUCAGCGGUGUAAUCAACCCUUUAAUCAAAUCAAUUUUUGAUAUGUUUUUAGUGAUUUGGCUCUUAUGAUAAGAAGAAAAUAUUAAUAUCUUUUAUAUCUUUUUAUUUAAUAUUUUUAAUUUAACUGUGAAACCCACCGUCUUCAUGGCAAAAACUUCUUCGUGCGAAUUGGACUUCUGUCCCUUCGUCCUUAAACGACGAGUGAUACGUGACACCAAGGAUCCACGGUGCAUCUGCCUUUAUAUAGUCGGAAAAUCGCGGGUGUUGCAUCCCCACCUGGUAUUAGACUUGUCGGAGAUUCGCGGAUCAGUCUCUCCCCUAACAGUGCUAGAACGCAUCCGCGAUGCAACGAUGCAAGUGUCUCUUCUUCGGAAGAGCGUUUGCAUUCUUUGCUUGAUGCUGUUUGUCUUCAAUACUGUCGAUACAUAUUUAUACCUUAAGAAAGGUGACAGUUUCAAUAAAAAUUUCAAAUAAAAUUUAGAACUUAAAAUGCAUAUAAGUAGCAAUAAUAAUAAUUAUAAUGAUA
This is a long non-coding RNA of Apis cerana (Asiatic honeybee), 548 nucleotides long. RefSeq lists it as uncharacterized. The record is from RefSeq and is a predicted model, not a curated record. NCBI's taxonomy places the organism in Eukaryota, Metazoa, Arthropoda, Insecta, Hymenoptera, Apidae.